This 461-nucleotide ribosomal RNA is filed under the name uncultured bacterium. Its description in RNAcentral is "partial 16S ribosomal RNA". It matches the Rfam family "Bacterial small subunit ribosomal RNA", at positions 35 to 507 of the family's 1533-position model. The record is from RNAcentral.
GCUGGCGGCGUGCUUAACACAUGCAAGUCGAACGGAAAGGCCCUGCUUUUGUGGGGUGCUCGAGUGGCGAACGGGUGAGUAACACGUGAGUAACCUGCCCUUGACUUUGGGAUAACUUCAGGAAACUGGGGCUAAUACCGGAUAGGAGCUCCUGCUGCAUGGUGGGGGUUGGAAAGUUUCGGCGGUUGGGGAUGGACUCGCGGCUUAUCAGCUUGUUGGUGGGGUAGUGGCUUACCAAGGCUUUGACGGGUAGCCGGCCUGAGAGGGUGACCGGCCACAUUGGGACUGAGAUACGGCCCAGACUCCUACGGGAGGCAGCAGUGGGGAAUAUUGCACAAUGGGCGGAAGCCUGAUGCAGCAACGCCGCGUGCGGGAUGACGGCCUUCGGGUUGUAAACCGCUUUCGCCUGUGACGAAGCGUGAGUGACGGUAAUGGGUAAAGAAGCACCGGCUAACUACGUG